Gopherus evgoodei (Goodes thornscrub tortoise) is the source of this 208-nucleotide long non-coding RNA. RefSeq lists it as uncharacterized. Lineage: Eukaryota; Metazoa; Chordata; Testudines; Testudinidae. The record is from RefSeq and is a predicted model, not a curated record. The transcript has 3 exons.
AAGUAAAACUAUUUCCACAUGUUUAUUCCCCCCUUACCACUGUUUCUCAAACCUUCUUGUCAACUGCUGCAAAUGGACCAUUUUGAUUACCACUGUAAAAAGUUCUCUCUCCUCUGCUGGUAAUGGCUCACCUUAACUGAUAACUCUCCUUAGAGUGUGUAUGGUAAUACCCAUUGUCUCAUGUUCUCUGUGUGUGGAUGUAUGUAUA